Molecule: RNase P RNA, 383 nt
Filed under: ANME-2 cluster archaeon
Lineage: Archaea; Methanobacteriati; Methanobacteriota; Methanomicrobia; Methanosarcinales
Description: RNase P RNA component
Rfam family: Archaeal RNase P
About the family: Ribonuclease P (RNase P) is a ubiquitous endoribonuclease, found in archaea, bacteria and eukarya as well as chloroplasts and mitochondria. Its best characterised activity is the generation of mature 5'-ends of tRNAs by cleaving the 5'-leader elements of precursor-tRNAs.
Source: RNAcentral
GAGAGAGGAAGAACGGCUGCCGGGUCAUUAUGACCUGAGGAAAGUCCCCCCACCGUCCGGAAGACACGAACGCCUGUAGUGGGCGUAGGACGAGAGUCCUGGCAGUUGCUGAUUAAAUCCAGCGGCUCAUAUGGCAACAAGGUUGCUGUAUGAUGGCACAGAAACGAUACCGUACCGUGUUAAUGCAAUGAUGCUUAAAAAGCGAAGGUCGCACGGGUUGCGGAUGGAACGCGUGAAUCCUCGUGGGUGCAAGCCAAAUAUGGGCAAACAGGCCUUUCCGGAGCCUGCCCGGAGUUAGCGCUAAGCCGAAUGCCGUUUAGAUGCGGAUCACAUCCUGAAUGGGAAGUGCCGCACAAACAGAAGGGGGCUUAUUCUCCUCACUC